UCCAAGGUGAUGCCCUCUUCUCACCGCCUGCCUGGAGUCACACAAUGGCCACCUCCUGCCAGCUAGCACAGAGAUUUCUCUGCUACUUUCCAGCCUCCUGAUGCUGGUGUAGGAAGGUGGCAGAAGGAAAAGGGCCAUGCAGAGGAUGACCCCAUACUGCGCUGAGCCCCAGGUGCCAUCACUGGCCCAUUGGCAUCUGGUGUGGCUUCGAGAAGUCAGGGUACUGCUCACAGAAACUAAAGUAGGCUGUCUUGUCUUCCGCUAAUCUUGAAUGCCUUUUGUUCAAGAGGUGUUUUGUAUUCAUCAGUCAACUAAGGACUCAUCCUGAAGAAGCCCUCAGUCAGCACAUAGAUCUCAGUGAAAAAGGGAUAUGCAGCUCUUGAAAUAUUCAUAGCAAAAGCCACUGGCACCCAGAUACAGAUUAUGCCUAUACCCAGAGGUAGACUCAGGACUGGAGGCUGCCCCCUCCAGUGGGGGAAGAAGUCUUGAACAUUCUGGAGAGGAGGAGCUAUCUCAUGCCUGAGGGUCCCAAAUUGCCACCACAACUAAGCAGCACUGAGUAAAACACCUGUACUUCAGCCUGGACCCGCUGUCUUUCAUGUGGAUGGCUGCCUCUUCUCUUCCAAACACAAAGCAGAGAAAACUAUUUAGAAAUCUAUUGAAUCGCACAGUGCAUUCCAAAGGGACCCAGAGGAAUCUGAGCUCUUAACAAGCUGUAUACUUUUGAGUUUACUGCUUGUGAAUAGUUCUCAGCUGACAGCUCUUGAGACCAAAAGCCUGCUUCACAGAUGCAGAAUGAACCAGCACAAGAAGUGGCUUCGUUGGCAACUUCCCCACAAUGUUAAAGACUCUCUGCCUCAGCCCUUAUCUAGUACUACAAGCGCACGGGUACAUCAGGAGCUGCAUCACUGUGCAUCAGGUCUGCUGGGCCAGACCUGGAGCUUUGUCACAAGCUUCAGGACUACAGGCAGGAGAGUGUGACUAUGAGCCAUCACCACCUGCCUGUGCUGCUCAGAAUCAGUGCUGCAGGGGGACUGGUGCUCACGUGCAUGUGUUUGCAAUGCACGGUGAAUGUGGAAAACAAAGUCUAUCCCUGGUCUGAAGACAAAUCACAAUGUGCUUUACAAACUGUGCCUACUUGAAAAAGGGUCUCAGUGACUUCUAGAGAAGCUCCGUUUCCUGGUGGAGUAUCAUCUUCUUGAGGCUAAAAUACAAGGCAAAACUUACGGCUUCUGGGAACUUCCUUUGGGUGCAGUUUCUUAUUAAAUGCCUUAAAGGAUCUGUGUGGAUGAGAGCAAGAGGCGUAUCGCAAGGUGAAGCAGUCUUGCUUCAUGCACUUUGCCACCACAUGGCCGAUGCCUUGUGUGUUUGCUGGGAGUGAGAGCUGCAAGCCUUUGGUCCUCAGUCAUUACAUAGAAGUAAGCAGUUGUUGAAAUGGCAAGGAGGAUUUGAGCCCUGCAUCUCUGCUAGAGGGUGAGACACAAUGAAUGGACACUGAGAAUUGCCAAACCUUGUUGUAUACGUGUGGACAUUUCUGAAUUACAGAUGCUUCACCUCGUUACAGCAAGAUCUGUUGUUUUGUGGCAAUCUCUGCAGAAAUCAUGUGCCUGCUGGAAGCGUCUGUAUCCCGGGGAUUACCCCUGCAGAAUAUAUGUGCUGUAAGUGGAA
Long non-coding RNA from Pezoporus occidentalis (night parrot), 1668 nucleotides. RefSeq lists it as uncharacterized. The transcript is spliced from 6 exons. The record is from RefSeq and is a predicted model, not a curated record. Lineage: Eukaryota; Metazoa; Chordata; Aves; Psittaciformes; Psittacidae.